AUGGGCAAAUCUUCUGAAAAUUACAAAACCCCUAAGGAGGUGGUGGUGGUAAGUUCACAGGCUGCCCAGUGACCUACUCUGCUAUGGAAGUACUUUAUGGAGGACAACUGUAUCAC
This 116-nucleotide long non-coding RNA is filed under the name Chinchilla lanigera (long-tailed chinchilla). RNAcentral describes it as "lncRNA (ENSCLAG00000024976.1)". The record is from RNAcentral. Lineage: Eukaryota; Metazoa; Chordata; Mammalia; Rodentia; Chinchillidae.